GGAGGGCUGGCAGAACGGCUAAUGCACCGGUCUUGAAAACCGGCGUCCGCAAGGACUUGGGGGUUCGAAUCCCUCGCCCUCCGCCA
RNAcentral lists this transfer RNA (86 nucleotides) under Deltaproteobacteria bacterium. Its description in RNAcentral is "tRNA-Ser". It matches the Rfam family "tRNA". Rfam says of the family: Transfer RNA (tRNA) molecules are approximately 80 nucleotides in length. Their secondary structure includes four short double-helical elements and three loops (D, anti-codon, and T loops). The record is from RNAcentral. Lineage: Bacteria; Pseudomonadati; Myxococcota; Myxococcia. RNAcentral also lists the same sequence under 3 other names.